This 570-nucleotide ribosomal RNA is filed under the name Aureimonas frigidaquae. RNAcentral describes it as "bacterial SSU rRNA". It matches the Rfam family "Bacterial small subunit ribosomal RNA", at positions 62 to 678 of the family's 1533-position model. Lineage: Bacteria; Pseudomonadati; Pseudomonadota; Alphaproteobacteria; Hyphomicrobiales; Aurantimonadaceae. The record is from RNAcentral.
UCGAACGCAUCCUUCGGGAUGAGUGGCAGACGGGUGAGUAACGCGUGGGAAUCUACCCAUCCCUACGGGAUAGCUCCGGGAAACUGGAAUUAAUACCGUAUACGUCCUUCGGGAGAAAGAUUUAUCGGGGAUGGAUGAGCCCGCGUUGGAUUAGCUAGUUGGUGGGGUAAAGGCCUACCAAGGCGACGAUCCAUAGCUGGUCUAAGAGGAUGAUCAGCCACAUUGGGACUGAGACACGGCCCAAACUCCUACGGGAGGCAGCAGUGGGGAAUAUUGGACAAUGGGCGCAAGCCUGAUCCAGCCAUGCCGCGUGAGUGAUGAAGGCCCUAGGGUUGUAAAGCUCUUUCAGUGGGGACGAUAAUGACGGUACCCACAGAAGAAGCCCCGGCUAACUUCGUGCCAGCAGCCGCGGUAAUACGAAGGGGGCUAGCGUUGUUCGGAAUUACUGGGCGUAAAGCGCACGUAGGCGGAAAUUUAAGUCAGGGGUGAAAUCCCGGGGCUCAACCCCGGAACUGCCUUUGAUACUGGGUUUCUUGAGUUCGGAAGAGGUAAGUGGAAUUGCGAGUGUAG